CUUUUCUUCCUUAAUAUUAUAAUCCUCUCUAAUAAGCAUAUCAUAUAUUCAAUGACAAAAAAGGAUGGAAACCUGUGAAGCAACUGGAAUUUGGAUUUCUUUAAAGCCAAGUAAUGAAAGUGGGUUUCUCAUGAUUAAUGCAACCACACACUGAUGAAAACUACUCUUUUAUAUAUUAUGUAAAAAACAGAUGUAUGCCAACAAAUUAAACCUCCUUUUCCUAUCAUCUCAAUUUUGAUCACUUCACUUGAACGGUAAAUUAUGCUACCUGGCUGCUUCUUCUUCUUCUUCCUUUUCGUCGCACUUCAGGUACCGGAUGUUUCAUUUUCGUCGCAUUGUACGUCUGAAACAGUAUCUAAAACUUUCGAAAAAUGCAUGACACUUCCUACUCAACAAGCCUCAAUCUCGUGGACUUUCCAUCCUCAAAACGCCACCCUCGAUCUCGUCUUCUUUGGUAGCUUCAUAUCUCCUUCAGGCUGGGUUGGGUUCGGGAUUAAUCCGAUUUCUCCUGAAAUGACAGGAACGCGAGCUUUGAUCGCUUUCCCGGACCCCAACUCGGGCCAACUAGUCCUGCUACCUUACAUUCUAGAUCCCACAGUGAAACUCCAACGAACACCGCUCCUUUCCCGCCCCCUUGACAUCCACCUCCUCUCCUCCUCCGCCACCUUAUAUGGUGGUCGUAUGGCCACCAUACACGACGGUGCAACUAUUCAAAUAUAUGCCACUUUCAAACUCGUCCCCAAUAAAACGAAGAUUCAUUAUGUAUGGAACCGCGGAUUAUAUGUUCAAGGUUACUCCCCAACUAUACAUCAAACUGCAAUCAAUGAUCUUUCGUCCAUAACCACAAUUGAUGUCCUGUCUGCAACUACGGCCAAGGCACAAAACAAUAAUAUCAGGACACUAAAAAUCAUUCAUGGCAUCAUAAACGCGAUUUCUUGGGGAAUGUUACUUCCAAUAGGGGCCGUAACUGCGCGAUAUUUAAGACAUAUACAAACUUUAGGCCCUACAUGGUUUUAUGCACAUGCUGGAGUUCAACUUUUUGCAGUUUUCUUAGGAACUGUAGGAUUUUCUAUUGGAAUUAGGCUAGGGGAGUUGUCUCCUGGACGGGUUUACGGGCUUCAUCAGAAACUCGGUUACGCAACAUUCUGCCUCGGGUGGCUUCAAACACUGGCUCUUUUGUUUAGGCCUAAAACAACAAACAAAUUCAGGAAGUAUUGGAAAUCGUACCAUCAUUUUGUCGGGUAUGCUUGUGUAGUAUUGGGUGUCGUUAACUGUUUUCAGGGAUUCCAAGUGAUGGGAGAAAGCAGGUCUUAUGCUAUGUUGGCAUACUGUUUGUGCUUGUCUACUCUCAUUGGCAUUUGCAUUGCACUGGAAGUGAAUUCUUGGGUUAUUUUCUGUAGAAAAUCCAAGGAAGAUAAAUUAAGGAGAGAAGGACGAAUUGGAAUUGGAAGUUCUGAGAAAGGCAGCGGAUCAGGUCAUGGUUGACAGCCUAUUCUUAAAUUUACUUUUUUAGAAAUGAGAACAAGACGGGAUUUACUUUCCAGAAAAAGGUGGAGUUUUGAAAAUCAUAUAUUUGAUAUUGUAAGUAAUUUUGGUCGAUCAUAUAUGUACAGAAUGUGUAAUAUGCAGCACAUAUUCUGUCUUUUAGCUUUCGCAACGUUCACAGCAGUUUUGUUCAAUAGAAUGAAAUUCUGCAAUGCUAGAUGAAGUAAAGUUAUGCAGCUUUGUAUUAAUUUCCAGUGAAAGCCCCAUCGAGCUGGGAGCUUGCCUAACACCAUUUUCUAGGGAAAAUUUAACGUGCGGUCACUAAAGUUUGGAGAAAUCUCAAUUGGGUCAGUAAAUUUUAAUUUGUUUCAAUUGGAUCACUAAAUUUCAGUUCAAAUUCUGUCACCACUGAUCUCCUAAAUUGAUGAAAUUUCUUACUUUUACAAGGGCGUCCUCAAAUGAGAUCUUAAUAAAUUUUUAAAAAUUAUAAAUCUUAUAGAAUUUCUUGAAUUUGAAUAGAUUUUCAUAGAAUCUAUUGACCUCGUCUUUGUAGGGAAACGUAGCCAACAUAUCCCAGCCUUGUUCUUGCACCCUUGGAUAAACUAUCAGUCACACAAACCUUUUUCGAUGGUGGAGGAUGUAACCACCUGCACUUCAACAAUCAAGUAAAUCAAUGUAUAGGUGUACGUGUGUAUGAUGUGCUAAAGACAUGAACCACUAGGUGUUGAGGGGCUGGAUUUAUGAAGGUAUGAGAUUAAUAUAUAUUGAAAUCAAACUUGUAGCUUUGAAGUCUAAAGUUGCAUUACUUUCAUAUGGUAUUAAGUGUGAGCUUUUAUAGUAUAAGAAAUGUGCUAUUGAUAGUUGGUUGGAAAGACGUGGUCUCAUCCUAAUGGUCGAGAAAUCAUCUCCUACAUGUCAAUCCAUACAUUAUAGGUCUGGCCUUAAGAUUGUAAGAAGAUUUUGUCUGAAAGAUCUCUUGGAAAGAUGUGAAGUGGGAGAUUAAUUGCCUCGCACUUCUUCCCUACAGCAUGCGUGGCACUUUGCCUAUGCCAUGAAGGUCGACAUCUACAUGGCACUUCGACUAAAGUGAUUAUUACCUCAGCUAUCUUGUAUGUAACCUUACCUCAGCUAUCUUGUAUGUAACAUCACCUCAACUAGGUAGGAGGAUGAUUUAGAGUUUGGGCAUGGUUGACUUGCUAUCUGGUAGAAUUGGUCUAGAGCCUCGUCCAAAGAGGAGUUAUAGAAUCUAUAAAAAUCUCAUUAAAAUAAGAAAAUUCAAAAAAAAAAAUUAAACUUAAAAUCCGUCUAAAUUUCUUGAAAUCAUUAUUGAAAUUCUUAUAAAUCCACAAGUUAUUUAGGAUGCCAAAAUUUUAAAGGAUUUCAUUGAAAUACAUUAAAAUCUCAGUUGAGUAUUCCUAGAUUUUGAAGGAAUUUAAUAAAAUUCAUUUAAAAUCUCAAUUCGGGAUACCGGAAUCUAGAAAAACUUUUAAAAUCAAUUAAAAUUUUAAUUGAGGGCACCAUAGCAAAUGUCCCAUAUGAUCGCUUUGUGGUAUGUCAAAUAACUAUUGCGUCAACCUUUUAGUCUAGAAAUAUUGUCGUACUCUCAUUUUGCAAUUUACAUUUCUAGUUUAGCACAUAGUAAUUACUUGAAAGAUCCAUUGUAUUUUAAAAACCAAGCAAUAUAAGUCAGCUUUCGGAAAAUAGGUCACCGAAUAUGAUAAAUAAAAAUAAUAAAUUUGACACAAAAUUUAGAUAAAUUAAAGUUUAGUUAACCUAUUGAUAUUUUAUUGAAGAUUAUGUGAAAGCUAAAGAAAUUUACCCUAAAUUUGUGGUGAAAAAGAAAAGAUUCACAUUGUGGGGAAAGAUAGCCCAGCCCAACAAAUGACCCAAAUGCAAAUUCAACUUAUUAUGAAAUUUACAUUUACAUUUUGUCACGCUAACUUCAUCUCGCGACUUACCAUAUUUUAGAGCACUGCAUUGUAAAUUUACCUACUUCGCUUGUCUCCAAAUAAGUAUUAGAGCUACAAUAACAACCAAAAAACAUAUUUGUAAAUAGAUUGACUCAAUAUUUAUACCCUAUUGAAGGAGCCAUGGCACAUAUGUUUGGAAUAGAUUCUAUUUUAUGAGAGUUGAAAAAACAUUAUCUCUUCUAUACAUCUACCCUUUCUCAAAGCAUUUCUUCAGAUAAAAACUCCAUUUCUUCCUCUCUUCGAAUGGUAAAUAAUUAUCAGUUAAUGGAAUGUAAAUCAAACCCAUGUUUGAAUUCUUAUCAAUUCAAAUGAAUCCAGUUAAAAUUAGAUUUAGAUAGGGAGAGAAAAGNNNNNNNNNNNNNNNNNNNNNNNNNNNNNNNNNNNNNNNNNNNNNNNNNNNNNNNNNNNNNNNNNNNNNUUGAUCAUUUGUAUAUGGAAGGCAUGUUCUAUCCACUUUGACGAGUUAGGGGACCCCCUUUGGGAUCCAGCUCUUCAUCAAAGCAUCCACACUUCCCAGAAUGGUAGAUAAUUCAUCCAUGCAAAGGCUUCUCCCAUGACCAUUUGUACAUGGGAGGCAUGUGAUAUCCGCUUUGACGAGUUAGAAGGUGGUCCUCUUUGUGUUCUAGCUCUUCGUCGAAGCGCCCAUGCUUCCUUGCGUAGUGAAUGACUCAUCCAUACAAAGGCUUCUCCCAUGACCAUUUGUACAUGGGAGAAAUGUGUUAUCCGCUUUGACGAUCCUUAGGAGCCAGUUCUUCAUCGAAGCGCUCACACUUCCUUGCAUAGUGGAUGAUUCAUCCAUAUUGAGGCCUUCUCCCAUGAUCAUUUAUACAUAGGAGGCAUGUGCUAUCUGCUUUAACGAGUUAGGAGGUGGUCCCUUUAAGGAUCCAACACUUCUACGCUUCCCUGCAUGGUAGAUAGGUCAUCUGUGCAGAGGCUUCUCCUAUGAGGAGGCAUGUGUUAUUCUCUUUGACGAGCUAGGAGACGGUCCCCUUUCAAAUCCAGCUCUUCGUCAAAAUGCCCAUACUUCCCUGCAUGGUGAAUGGUUCAUCCGUGCAGAGGCUUCUCCCAUGACUAUUUGUACAUGGGAGGCAUGUGAUAUCAACCUUAAAAAAUUUGGACUCAAAGCACCUAUAUUUUCCUGCAUGGUGGAUGGUUCAUCCAUGCAGGGGAUAAUAUAAACUCUCUUAAUAUAAAUGCAGUUGUAAUGAAACAUUUCGUAUGGUAAGGCAUCUCGCUGAGCGAGGCAUAAAUAUAAGGUUAGUGACUAUCUUAAACUAUAUGUGACAUGUAAGCUGGCCUCAAGUGGACGAGAAAUAAGCAUCUAGCGAGGGGGGGGGGAAAUCUCACAUAUAGCUCUCAAACUAUCGGAGUUUCUCAGAAUGACAAUAUCUUACAGCUAGGCUCGACAAUAAUGAGAAGAGAAGAAUAAACACUCGCAAAGCUAUGAAUGAAACCUUAUAUUAUGAGCCUGAAGCAUAGGCAAGGAUGAUGCGCGUUACAUGCUGAGGCACUAAAGCAUAGGCAAAAUAUGAGGCCUUGUAUGCUGAGACACUAAAGUAUAGUAUGGUGAGCCUGAAGUAUAGGCAAGGAUGAGGCCUUGCAUGUUGAGAUACUGAAGCAUAGGCAAAAUAUGAGGCCUUGUAUGGUAAGCCUUGUGGAAGCUUAUGCUUGUAUAUAGAUAAAAUAUUAAAAUUGCCUUUAAGUCCUUAAGUAAUUUCAUGCCUAGGUCCCUCAACUUUUGAUUUUGUACGUUUUGAUCCUUAGAUUUUUUCUUUUAUUUCAAUCAUACCGUUGAUAUAUUGCAUUCAUGAUCUUUAACUUUCGGAACAUCUACAUUUCAAUCCCAAAGUUCACAUUUUUGUACGCUUUUAGUCCUUUUCUCUUCUUUUGUGUUGUUCCCCUUCAAUUUGGAUUUUUUUUCACCUAAUGGGGUAUUGCAUAGGCAAUGAUGAAGCCUCAUACUCCAAGGAUGAAGCCUCUAAAUUAAUUCAUCAAAUAUUACCACAUCUUCAAGGUUGCCUAUUUUAUAGUCCCUUCUUUAGUGGCUUUCCAUUUGUAAAAUGAGUCUUCCAAUAGCCUCUUUACUAGAGACCUCCCUUUUUAGGGGGUUUUCUUGUUCAAUGAGGCUUCCUCAACAGUCUCCCCUUUUCUAGAGGUCUUACUUAUUCAUGGCCUCUUCUUUAGAGGCCUCCUCCUUUCUAAGGAGCCUGGUUCAAGGCCACUUCUUUAGUGACCUCCCCAUUUUAACGGGAUCUUCUUAUUCGUAGCCUCUUCUUUAGAGGCCUCCCAUUCUUAGUUAUUCAAGGCCAUUUCUUCAGUGGCAUCGCCUUCUAGGAUGGCCUUUUUUUCAUGGCCUCUUCUUUAGAGGCCUCUUCCCUUUUUAAGUGGUCUGAUUCAUGGCCACUUCUUCCUAUUUCCUUGCAUUUGGAGCUGUUGUACAAGGCAUGUUUCUAUAUGAUGCUUCCCAUGUUGGUAGCCAUUCAACUACUUCCCGAGUGAGUUGGGUAAUUACUCUCAUUCCACCUCGUCUAUGCUAGUGAUGAGGUCGGUGAUGACCCACUGGGAAAGGUCUCCAAGAGAUAACUUCCUCCUUCUUCAGGGGUCUUCCUAACCCUUCUAAAUGGGACUUCCUCACUGCUUGAAAUCAUUUUUCUGUACAAAUCUUUUCUUCAAAGAUAUGGGGAUCAUACAAAUGGAAUUCUAUCUCAAUAUAUCCUUUUUCAAGAAAUAUCAACAAUCCAAGUAUAGACGUAAGCUCCAAAUCUCUUUCUUGGGCUUCCACUUGUUCUUUCUUCAAGAACAAAUCCUUUUGCAAGGGAGAUACCCAACUCGCUAAUGGCAAGCUUUUUCCAUGGGACGUGGUUAUAGUGUGACUCCCCAUAGAUGGUGCCAAUAUGUUGACAUCAAAAAAAUUUGUGAACAGAUGUCCGGUUCCAUUGAGGUCUAUGUAGACAAAUUCCAACACGUAUGGACGGGUUGCUAGUCGACAAUACUUCGAAUUUGGACAUGGAAGAAGCUUUAUGACAUAAGAAAAAUAUGUUCAGACUCGAGUAAUAUUUUUCAAGAACGAUUGUACAGUAAUUAACAAAUGAUAGACAACUCUAAGAAAUCAAAGUAUUCAAAAUUCAAGUUAAGCAAGUGUAUCAAUAACUAGAAAGAAGACAAAGAGUAGUUUUUGGUGUCAAGAGUUGCAUUCCCCCUCAAAUGAUACAAAAAUGGGGUAUUUAUAGUGUGACACAUGAGAUGGUGUCCAUUAGAUGAGGAGCUACCUGGCUUCAUCUCCUCAACCAAACCAUCUAAUCGUAUCCAUCAUUUUGACUUCCUAACCUAUGACACAUUUGAUGUUCUUACACAUAUGAUAUGAUCCAAGAUGAGGGAGCCACGAAAGCAAGUUCAAAUCAAGACCCAUUGAGAAUUGAAGGUGGACCGAUGACACGUUCGAGGGCAAAGCAGGUAAAUCAAGUGAUGGGAAAACUUGUUCAAUCAACUAUUGAAGGGACGAUGUUCAAGAUGCAAAAUGAGGCAACUUUUAUGUUGGGUCGAGAGCGGAAUCGAAAUGGAUCAACAUAAUAGAAGCGGACGAAGUUGGAGCUGAAAUUCAAUGAUAUGCGAUUGACUGCAUAGCACAUCCUGGCAUGCGGUCGCAUAGACCCAUGUAGGAAAAUUUUUAGGUAGCAACAACUCUUCUAUGCAACCGCAUAGAAAUACUCUAUGUGGCCGCAUAGUACAAAAUUUGGGACGUGUUUUCAAUUUUUGGCAACUUUUCUAAUUUCCAUAAAAAUUUGAUUCUAAUUAUUAUUUUUCGAUAUUUGAAGCAUAAUUUUCGUCGAAGACAAUAUCUUUUAGGAUUAGUAUAAAUACUUUCUCCUAUUGAUUGAGAAUUAAUUUGAGAGGCAAUUCUUGCUUUCCAAACUUUGUCCUUCUUAGAACAAUUUUUGAACUUAUCAAGAUGCUUCCUUGUAGCGUUCAAAAUUCGGGUGUGAGUCUUUGGUUGCAUGAUCAAGAGGUCCUUCAUAUUACUAUUAUUAUGGGAUUGCUUGGUUCGUCAUCUUGGGAUUCAAAUCCAUAAAUCGGGGUUAAUUCUUGGCUUUCUUGGGGUUCAACGGUCUUUUAUGGGUUCGUUAGUGAUCGUGCUGACCGGAUUUGCAUCAGUUGGUAUUGGAGCAUAGGCUCCAAAUUAAUUGAGAUUAUACAUUUUUAUUAUCUCAAGUCUUUAAAAUUUUGUUCUUUCUAUUUUCCGCGUUAUUCUUUUGUUCCGUGUCUUGUUAUUGUUGUUAUUUGAUUCCUAGACCAUGAGUCAAUCGUUAAUUCGUUAAAAAAUUUUUAUUUGCUAGUAAUUAGUUAAUCUUCUUGCAAGAGAGAGAGAGAUUCAAAAAUUCAAAAAAAAAUAAAUUGUUCUAUUAUUUUCUAAUUUAGUACCAGCACAUUCAUAAUUUUCCUUCAGUCAUAUUUGUGUUAAUACAUAAAUUUCAUUCAUCAAUUUGUGAAUCAUGUUACCUUUCCAUUCAAAAUUUUCAUUUCCAUUGUGUCAAAUUCCUGUUAUUAUCAUAACUCUUGAACGCAUCCGAUUUAGAAUUCCACAAGGUUAAAUCCUGUUGAGUUAACUUUGUUCUUUGAGCCACUUGGACGAAAGCACUGAGUGGUAAAAGGCAGAGAUGUGCGAUCAAUAGAGGGUAAAAGCCUUAUUGUGAGAUUCCGAGUGAAAUAUUGGUAAGGCAGAAAAAUAAUUAAAUAAAUUUUAGAUUUAAGAUGUCUGACAGAGAAGGUUCCAAUUCAAACCGUAACGACAAUCACAUUAAUGCACAGAAUGAUAUGAUGAGGCAAUUUAAGAGGUUGUUUACGGAUAUAGUGGAUAGGUUAAAUAGGCUUGAUACAUUGGUUAAGAAUCUUAGUAUGAGGCAAUGGGCUGAAAUACCUCACGCUAGGAGACCAGGUAGACUAAAACCUAGGAUGGAAAGGCGGGAGGCGUAUGAUUACGAUAGUAAACUGGAUGAGAAUGAAUACAAUAAAGUGUUUUAGGUGCUUGGGAUCGGGACACAUCGCUUCUCAGUGUUCGAACAAACGAGCGAUGGUGUUGAGGGACAAUGGAAAGGUUGUAAGUGAAAGCAAAAGUGAAUAUGAUGACAUGCCGGAGUUAGAGGAAAUUAACGAUGGAGAGAUAGUGGAAUAUGUUGUGGGAGAAUUGUUGGUCACGAGAUGAGCUCUUAACACUCAAAUCAAGGCGGAUGACUUGGAGCAACGGCAGGAAAAUAUAUUCCACACUCGAUCUCAUGUUAAUAAUAAGGUGUGUAGUUUGAUCAUCAACUGUGGGAGUUGUACAAAUGUGGCUAGCACAACUUUGGUGGAGAAAUUGGGAUUAACUCUAUUAAAACACCCUAAACCUUAUAGGCUUCAAUGGUUGAAUGAUUGUUGAGAAAUCAAAGUAAAUAGGAGGGUUUUGAUAAAUUUCUCAAUUGGGAAUUAUCAUAAUGAAGUGGUAUGUGAUGCGGUACCUAUGCAUGCGGGACAACUGUUGCCGGGGUGACCAUGGCAAUACGACAGAAAGAUUGUUUACGAUGGAUACAAGAAUCGAUACAGCUUUAUCAAAGAUGGGAUAUCCAUUACCCUUGCACCAUUAGCAGACCAAAUUAAAUUGAAAAAUGAAGAAGAGAGAAGAGCUAGAGAAAAAGAGAGAAAACAAUGAGACAAUGAGUAAGAGAGAAAAUAGUGAGGGGCGAGUCGAGAGAAAAAGAGAAUAGAGCCCCAAGAGCAAAAAAGAAAAAGAGUCUUCUGUGAGGAGAGAAAAGUCAAGAGCGAAUUUUUUUGCAAAAGAGAGUGAGUUGAGAAGAGCAACAGUCGAGAUGGGGAAAAUGAUUUUGUUGAUCUACAAAGAGUCACUCCUCAGUUUUAAGGAAUCUAACCCAUCCCUCCCCAAUUUGGCUAAUUCUUCAUUACAAGAGUUCGAGGAUAUAUUUCCAGAGGACGUGCCUAGUGGGUUACCACCCAUUCGAGAUAUUGAGCACCAGAUCGACUUCAUACCUGGAGCUGUCAUUCCAAACCGACCAAUUUACCGGAGCAAUCUUGAGGAGACAAAGGAACUUCAGAGGCAAGUUGCGGAGUUGAUAAGCAAGGGUUAUUCAGGAAGAGCAUAAGUUCGUGUACUGUACUAGUUCUGUUAGUGCCAAAGAAAGAUGGAACAUGGAGGAUGUGCGUGGAUUGCAGAGCCAUCAAUAACAUAAUGGUAAAGUAUUGUCACCCUAUCCCUAGGUGAGAUGAUAUGCUUGAUGAAUUAUAUGGUGCAUGCAUAUUUAGUAAAAUUAAUAUUAAGAGUGGUUACCAUUAAAUUAGAAUGAGGGAAGGAGUGGAAAACUGCAUUUAAAACUAAAUACGGAUUGUAUGAGUGGUUCAUUCCAUUUGGACUCACCAAUGCACCGAGCACUUUCAUGCGUUUGAUGAAUCAUGUUUUACGUGCUUUUAUAAGAAAAUUUUCGUCGUGAUGUAUUUUGAUAAUAUUUUAGUGUAUAGCAAAAAUCUAAAUGAGCAUGUAGAGCAUUUAAGAAAAGUGCUUGCAGUAUUAAGGAAAGAACAACUGUAUGCUAAUUUUAAGAAACGUACAUUUUGCAUGGAAAAGGUUGUCUUUCUAGGAUUUGUGGUUAGUGCCAAUGGAGUAGAGGUUGAUGAGGAUAAGAUAAAAGCUAUUAAGGAGUGGCCUACACCUAAGAGUAUAGCCGAAGUAAGGAGUUUUAAUGGAUUGGCUAGUUUCUAUAGGCGAUUUGUGAAAGAUUACACCACUCACUAAGGUAGUAAAGAAGAGCAUAGAUUUUCAUUGGGAUAGUAAGCAGGAGCAAGCAUUUAAUACAAUUAAAGAUCAAUUAUGUAAAGCACCUAUUUUAGCUUUACCUAAUUUUGACAAAACAUUCGAGAUUGAGUGUGAUGCCUCAGGAAUAGCGAUUGGAGCAAUAUUGAUGCAGGACAACAGGCCAAUGGCUUAUUUUAGUGAGAAGCUGAGUGGAGCCGCUCUUAACUACCCUACGUAUGACAAAGAGUUGUACUCACUUGUUCGAAUUUUGGAGACUUGGCAGCAUUACUUGUGGCCUAAGGAAUUUGUAAAACACACUGAUCAUAUGUCUCUCAAACAUUUGCAGGGUCAAAAAAACUGAACAAGAGGCAUGUAAGGUAGAUAGAAUUUAUAGAAACAUUCCCCUAUGUCAUUCGCUAUAAGCAAGGUAAAGAUAAUGUGGUGGCAGAUGCUUUGUCUCGCAGGUAUGUGUUACUAACUUCUCAUAGUUCUAAAUUACUUGGUUUUGAGCACAUUAAAGAUAUGUAUGUGAAUGGCUUGGAUUUUUCUGAUGUGUAUAAAUCAUGUAAUAAGGGGUCUAUAGACAAGUUCUUUAGGAAUGAGGGGUACUUGUUUCGCGAAAAAGUUGUGUAUUCCUAAGUGUUCGAUGCGAGAAUUGCUAGUAAGAGAGGCAUAUAGCGGUGGAUUGAUGGGACACUGUGGGGUUAAGAAAACUUUAGAAAUGUUAAAGGAGCAUUUUUAUUAGCCUAAAAUGAAAAGUGACAUUGAACGGAUAUUUAGCCAAUGCAUAACUUGUAAGGAGGCUAAAUCUAAGGUUUUACCUCGAGGGUUGUACACACCGUUACCUACUCCUAGUGAACCUUGGAUUUUGUGUUGGAUUUACCUAGGAAUAAGAGUGAACGGGAUUCUAUUUUUGUGGUGGUAGAUAGGUUUAGUAAGAUAGUGCAUUUCAUACCGUGUCAUAAAACUGAUGAUGCCGCUCACAUAGCAAAUUUGUUCUUUAAAGAGAUAGUGCGUUUGCAUAGGAUCCCUGGGAAUAUCAUGUCAAACAGGGAUGUAAAAUUUUUGAGUCAUUUUUGGUGGCUUUUGUGGGGUAAAUUAGGCACGAAAUUAUUAUUUUCCACAACAUGUCACCCACAAACCAAGGGACAAACUGAGGUGGUCAAUAGGACCAUGACUCAAUUAUUACGCACUGUAAUAAAUAAAAACUUGAAGAGUUGGGAAGAGUGCCUAUCUUUUGUUGAAUUUGCAUAUAAUAGAGCUAUAGAUUUUACUACUUCGUUCUCACCUUUUGAAAUCAUUUAUGGGCUUAACCCACUAACUUCCUUGGAUUUGUUACCUUUACCGAUGAAUGAACGAGAUAGUUUGGAUGGUAAGAGAAAAACUGAGUUGGUAAAGUCAUUCCACGAGAAGAUCAAGAUGUAAAUUAAAGAAAGGAGUAAGCUUAUUGCAUCAAAGGCAAACAAAGGAAGAAAGCGCGUGACAUUUAAACCAGGUGAUUGGGUACAUUUUAGAAAUGAGCGUUUUCCAGAGCAGAGAAAGUCUAAGUUGCAGGCAUGGGAAGAUGGUCCGUUUCAAGUCAUCGAAAAUAUCAACGAUAAUGCAUACAAAGUGGAUAUUUCAGGUGAGUAUAAUGUUUCAACUACAUUUAAUGUGUCUGGUCUCUUUCUUUUUGAUGCAGGUGCAGAUCCGAGGACGAAUCAUUUUGAAGAGAGAGAGGAUGAUAUGAUCCAAGAUGUGAGAGUCACGAAGACAAGUCCGAAUCAAGACCUGCUGAGUAUUGAAGGUGGACCAUAACACGUUCGAGGGCAAAGCGGGUAAAUCAAGCAAUGAGACUACUUGUUCAAUCUACUAUUGAAGGAACGAUGUUCAAGAUGCAAAACGAGGCAACUUUCAUGUUGGGGUCGAGAGCGGAAUCGAAAUGGAUCAACGUAAUAGAAGCGGACGAAGUUGGAGCUAAAAUUCAGUACUAUGCAGUUGGCUUGCAGUCAUAUAGACCCAUGUAGGGAAAUUUUUGGGCAACAACAACUCUUCCAUGCUACCGCAUAGAAACACUCUAUGCGGCCGCAUAUUACAAAAUUUGUGACGCGUUUUCUAUUUUUGGGAAUUCUUCUGGUUUCCAUAAAAUUUGAUUCUAAUUAUUAUUUUUGGGUAUUUGGAGCAUAAUUUCCAUCCAAGACAAUAUUUUUUAGGAUUAGUAUAAAUAUUUUCUCCUAUUGAUUGUAAGAACAACUUUGACAUUAUUGAGAAUUAAUUUAAA
Molecule: long non-coding RNA, 12493 nt
Filed under: Olea europaea subsp. europaea
Lineage: Eukaryota; Viridiplantae; Streptophyta; Magnoliopsida; Lamiales; Oleaceae
Source: RNAcentral